GGGGCCAUAGCUCAGCUGGGAGAGCGCUUGCAUGGCAUGCAAGAGGUCGUCGGUUCGAUCCCGUCUGGCUCCACCA
Molecule: transfer RNA, 76 nt
Filed under: Pseudomonadales bacterium
Lineage: Bacteria; Pseudomonadati; Pseudomonadota; Gammaproteobacteria; Pseudomonadales
Also listed under: 10 other names
Description: tRNA-Ala
Rfam family: tRNA
About the family: Transfer RNA (tRNA) molecules are approximately 80 nucleotides in length. Their secondary structure includes four short double-helical elements and three loops (D, anti-codon, and T loops). Further hydrogen bonds mediate the characteristic L-shaped molecular structure. tRNAs have two regions of fundamental functional importance: the anti-codon, which is responsible for specific mRNA codon recognition, and the 3' end, to which the tRNAs corresponding amino acid is attached (by aminoacyl-tRNA synthetases). tRNAs cope with the degeneracy of the genetic code in two manners: having more than one tRNA (with a specific anti-codon) for a particular amino acid; and 'wobble' base-pairing, i.e. permitting non-standard base-pairing at the 3rd anti-codon position.
Source: RNAcentral